GAUGAACGCUGGCGGCGUGCCUAAUACAUGCAAGUCGAGCGAACGGACGAGAAGCUUGCUUCUCUGAUGUUAGCGGCGGACGGGUGAGUAACACGUGGAUAACCUACCUAUAAGACUGGGAUAACUUCGGGAAACCGGAGCUAAUACCGGAUGAUAUUUUGAACCGCAUGGUUCAAAAGUGAAAGAAGGUCUUGCUGUCACUUAUAGAUGGAUCCGCGCUGCAUUAGCUAGUUGGUAAGGUAACGGCUUACCAAGGCAACGAUGCAUAGCCGACCUGAGAGGGUGAUCGGCCACACUGGAACUGAGACACGGUCCAGACUCCUACGGGAGGCAGCAGUAGGGAAUCUUCCGCAAUGGGCGAAAGCCUGACGGAGCAACGCCGCGUGAGUGAUGAAGGUCUUCGGAUCGUAAAACUCUGUUAGUAGGGAAGAACAUAUGUGUAAGUAACUGUGCACAUCUUGACGGUACCUAAUCAGAAAGCCACGGCUAACUACGUG
This 497-nucleotide ribosomal RNA is filed under the name uncultured bacterium. RNAcentral's name for it is "partial 16S ribosomal RNA". It matches the Rfam family "Bacterial small subunit ribosomal RNA", at positions 28 to 507 of the family's 1533-position model. The record is from RNAcentral.